UGUGAUCUUUUUCGAUCCUUCUUCUUCAGAAACCCUAAUUCGUUGCUAAAGUGAUUAGGGUUUUGUUUUGUUUCUUUUUGCAUUAAUUUGUAUUCUAAACUGUGGUCUGAUGAGUGGUUCAUGCAAACAUACAUACAGUUCCCAAGAUUUCUUAUAGACUAGUGCUUGAUUUUGGUGAUGAUUGUUAGAGAUGGUUCGAGACGUGCUAGCGUUGCAGCCGGAGACGGAGACGACGCCUGGGGAUGGAGGCGUAGGUAUGCUGGUGAAGAAGAAGGGAACGGCGAGUGCGAGGAGUUGGAUAUUGAUCGAUACUAACGUGAAUGAGACGAUUAUGGAUAUUGAUAAGUAUGCUAUCAUGCACCGAGUUCAGAUUCAUGCUCGUGAUCUUCGGAUUCUUGAUCCUCUUUUAUCUUAUCCUUCUACAAUUUUAGGCCGUGAAAGGGCAAUUGUCCUUAACUUGGAACAUAUCAAAGCUAUUGUCACUGCUGAAGAGGUGUUGCUUCGAGAUCCUUCAGAUGAUAAUGUAAUACCAGUUGUUGAGGAACUACGGAGGAGAUUGCCUGUUGCAAAUGCCAAUCGUGGAGACUUGAGUGGGCAGCAUGAUGAAGCUGGGGAAGAAGACGAAUCACCAUUUGAGUUUCGAGCACUAGAGGUUUUCUUAGAGGCCAUUUGCAGUUUUCAUGCUGCUUGUACUACAGAACUGGAAACCGAUGCUUACCCAGCCUUGGAUGAGUUUACGUCUAAGAUUAGUAGCCGUAACUUGGAUCGUGUUCGUAAACUGAAAAGUGCAAUGACAAGGUUGACUGCUCGUGUUCAAAAGGUUAGGGAUGAACUUGAACGACUUUUGGACGAUGAUGAUGAUAUGGCGGAUCUAUAUUUAUCAAGAAAGCUAUCUUCGGCUUCACCAGUAAGUGACUCAGGUGCUGCUAGUUGGUUUCUUGGCUCGCCUACUAUWGGUUCAAAGAUAUCUAGAGCUAGCAGGGCAAGUGUGAUGACGAUUCAUGGAGAUGAAAACGAUGUUGAAGAGCUUGAGAUGCUUCUAGAGGUUUUUUGGAUGUAUUCCAGGCCUACUUCAUGCAGAUUGAUGGAACGUUAAACAAGUUAACCAGUCUGCGUGAAUAUAUUGAUGAUACAGAAGAUUAUAUCAACAUCCAGCUUGACAAUCAUAGAAAUCAGCUAAUUCAGCUGGAGCUAUUUCUAAGUUCAGGAACUGUAUGUAUGUCCGUCUAUUCGUUGGUGACUGGUAUAUUUGGCAUGAAUAUACCUUAUACGUGGAAUGAUGAUCACGGCUACAUGUUCAAAUGGGUGGUGAUUCUGUCGGGCGGAUUUUCUGCAGUCCUUUUUCUUCUGAUUGUUUCCUAUGCUCGUUUAAAAGGGCUGGUUGGAUCUUGAAUGCAAGCAAGCAGCAUUUAUGGAUACUGAUUUCUAACUCGUGUAUUCGCUUUCAGGUACGCAAGUACUAAUACUCCCUCCCUCCCUCCCUCCCUCCCUCCUCCAAUACAGAUAGAUCCAUUUUAAUUUUAAUUUUAAUUUUUUUUUCUUUCCCUUCUCCUUGUUUCUAAAUCAAAUAAGGAGAAGCAAUACAAACUUGAGGUUGAAACAUAAUGCUUACUUAUUGUAACCUGGGGGGAUGCUAUACUUGUUGAAAUAAAUAUUACAUUAACAUUUUGUUUUUCUA
RNA transcript from Cynara cardunculus var. scolymus (artichoke), 1678 nucleotides. It is a transcript of the gene named magnesium transporter MRS2-I-like, with no coding region annotated. The transcript has 11 exons. The record is from RefSeq and is a predicted model, not a curated record. Lineage: Eukaryota; Viridiplantae; Streptophyta; Magnoliopsida; Asterales; Asteraceae.